This 68-nucleotide transfer RNA is filed under the name Fistularia tabacaria (cornetfish). RNAcentral describes it as "tRNA-Phe". It matches the Rfam family "tRNA". Rfam says of the family: Transfer RNA (tRNA) molecules are approximately 80 nucleotides in length. Lineage: Eukaryota; Metazoa; Chordata; Actinopteri; Syngnathiformes; Fistulariidae. The record is from RNAcentral.
GCUAGUGUAGCUUAACCAAAGCAUAACACUGAAGAUGUUAAGAUGGGCCCUAGAAAGCCCCACGGGCA